This is a long non-coding RNA of Apis mellifera (honey bee), 750 nucleotides long. RefSeq lists it as uncharacterized. Lineage: Eukaryota; Metazoa; Arthropoda; Insecta; Hymenoptera; Apidae. The record is from RefSeq and is a predicted model, not a curated record. The transcript has 3 exons.
UAAUAAUGUAUUAUGUAAUGUUCUUUAUUUAACAAAAAUUUUUCAAACAAGUUUUAAAUUUAAAUUUUAAAUCUCAGAAUAUUAAUACUGCUCAGACAAUAAAUAGAUAGUAUCCAGACAUGCACAGGAUAAUGCUGCAAGGACAAUACCUUUUUUUAUAAGAAAAUUUGUUAAUUUGCUUUACACAUUUAAAAACAAAUUUGCAUAGCAGGAAUGAUAAUAUAGUCUUAUUAUCUAAGACGAUCGUUAUAAUAAUGGCAUUCCCAACGGAAAGCAGCUUAAUCUGAUCCAGGAUACCGCUCAAUUAGAGGGUUGGUCCUCAACGUUAUUGGAUACUUGUACAUCCCCACUGAAGAUUCGCAAACUCACGAACAUAGCGGGAUUUCAGAGGAUACCCAUUUGGGGGAAAACCCUUAAAAGCUUGCCAGAAUCAUAAGAUCUUCAGAAUACAAAAACAGAGCUAUUAUAACAAUGUCAAGAACCACAAUUCCUUGAAGUUCGAAGGUCUAGUGAUAGUGAAUCAUCAUCGGUAUAUAGAUUUUUCUCUUGAUCAUCUAGUGAAUCGAACUUAUCAACUGUCAGCAUUUGGUCUUUACCUCUGAUCUAGUGCAUCGAACUUAAUAAAAACGGAUUUCAUAAUAAUUAUUACUAUAUUUCAUAGCUCCAGAAACAAGUUGGAGCUAACACACAUAACAUUUUAUUUAAAUCCAUAGAUUAAUUGACAUCAAAAAUAAAAAAAAUAUUUUUUUC